Molecule: microRNA, 21 nt
Filed under: Rosa chinensis
Lineage: Eukaryota; Viridiplantae; Streptophyta; Magnoliopsida; Rosales; Rosaceae
Description: sRNA RchiOBHm_Chr5g0060455
Source: RNAcentral
CUACUUGAAGACUCUUCUUCU